CUUCCCUCCCCCUCGGAGCUGCUCGGGGCGCAGCUCGCACGCUGGCAGGCUGUGCCAGCCAGGCACUGUGCACUCCUACAAGUGCCACCUGCUCUGCUGGAAGCCUUGCUGUGCUGAACUCGCCAGCAUCUUUGUGCCUGAUCUGCAGGGCAGCUCCUCACAUCGGGCUUGGCUGCUCGCCCAUGACAAGAAGAGUUUGCAGAGCCUUUUGGCUCAGGAGCACUUGGCAACCUUCAGAAUGCAUUCCGCUGGGCAGCGGGCACACACACAUCCUGGGGUGAUGCCAUGUGCUGCACCCCAGAGUGCUGCUGUGUGCCCCAUCUCAGGCUCCUGCUGUGUGCCCUAUCCCAUGGUGCUGCUGUGUGUCCCAUCCCAGGUUCUGCUGUGUUCCCCAUCCUGAGAUUUUGCUGUGUGCCCCAUCCCUGGGUUCUGCUGUGUUUCCCCAUCCCAUGGUGCUGCUGUGUGCCCAAUCCCAGGUUCUGCUGUGCUCCCCAUUCCAGGGUUCUGUUGUGUGCCCCAUCCCGUGGUGCUGCUGUGUUUCCCCAUCCCGAGGUUCUUCUGUGUUCCCCAUCCUGAGAUUUUGCUGUGUGCCUCAUUUCUGCAUUCUGCUGUGUUCUCAGGGUGCGGCUGUGUGCCCCAUAUCGGGAUUCUGCUGUGUGCCCCAUCUCAGGAUUCUGCUGUGUUCCCCAUCCCAGGUUCUGCUGUGUUCCUCAUCCCUGGGUUCUGCUCUGUUCCCCAUCUCGGGAUUCUGCUGUGUGCCCCAUCCCAAGUUGUGCUGUGUUCCCCAUCCUGGAUUCUGUUGUGUGCCCCAUCCCAAGUUGUGCUGUGUGCCCCAUCCUGAGAUUUCACUGUGUGCCCAUCCCAGGGUUCUGCUGUGUGCCCCAUCCUGAGAUUUCACUGUGUGCCCCAUCCCUGGGUGCUGCUGUGCCCCCCAUCCCGUGGCACUCGCUGUGCAGCUGGCACAGCUUGCAGCCAUCAGGCAGCUGGAGCAAUCACCACAGAAGGUUUAGCGGGAGAACACAUCACAGCCAAAGUCGAAGGCUGAAUUGAGAUAUCAGUGGGGGAGGUGGCUAUUAUAUUCCAGCUCUCUUAAAAACCAUUCUGAGACUUGUAAGGCAUUGUGUUGUGCUUGCUGCUGGAUUUAAGACUGCUGACUGUCAGGCAGUGAAGGUCACUUUGUGCUUUCCUCUUUAAGGCAAGCUGCUGUUUAUAUUACCAAGAGACCAGCAGCGCUGACUAACUCUUGGCAUGUUAACCUGGGAAGCGUGUUCUCUCCUCGGGAAAAGGUCUCCCAUGCACUCCCUCAGGACCUGAACAGCUGAGAGUUUUGUGUCAUGUAGGUGUCAAGCCCAAUCAGAGCUUCCUUGUCAGGAUGUGUUAGGGCAGCUGCCUGCAAUUUGUGUGACAGUGCACAUCUCUGCCAAUAAACUACUUUUUGCUCUCCCUUCUGCUGUGUCUGCCGUCUGCAGGGCUGUUGGAAUGCUGCCAGGGAGGGAGAGCAAUGCAUGCACAGAGGUGUCUGGGUGGCACCUCUUGUAAUCUGUGCUCUGCACCGUGUAUUGAUUGGCUUUGUGGAUGGAUCCCACGGGCUGAACACCAACAUCACGUACCAGAGCAUGACAUUUUAAUCAGAGACACGUUUAACUACUGGGAGCAGC
Long non-coding RNA from Ficedula albicollis (Collared flycatcher), 1658 nucleotides. Lineage: Eukaryota; Metazoa; Chordata; Aves; Passeriformes; Muscicapidae. The record is from Ensembl.